CCUACGGGAGGCAGCAGUGGGGAAUAUUGCACAAUGGGCGAAAGCCUGAUGCAGCGACGCCGCGAGAGCGAAGAAGGCCUUCGGGUCGUAAAGCUCUGUCCUAUGGGAAGAAAGAUGACGGUACCAUAGGAGGAAGCCCCGGCUAACUACGUGCCAGCAGCCGCGGUAAUACGUUGGGGGCGAGCGUUGUGCGGAAUGCCUGGGCGUAAAGGGUACGUAGGCGGCUAGAUAAGUCAGAUGUGAAAGGCAUAGGCUUAACCUGUGUAAGCAUUUGAAACUAUCUAGCUUGGGUCAAGAAGAGGAAAGUGGAAUUCAGGGUGGAGGGGUGAAAUGCGUAGAUAUGAGGAGGAAUAGCAGUGGCGAAGGAGACUUGCGGGACUUAGACUGACGGUGAGGUACGAGAGCGUGGGGAGCAAACAGGAUUAGAUACCCGUGUAGUC
This 440-nucleotide ribosomal RNA is filed under the name uncultured bacterium. RNAcentral describes it as "bacterial SSU rRNA". It matches the Rfam family "Bacterial small subunit ribosomal RNA", at positions 338 to 795 of the family's 1533-position model. The record is from RNAcentral.